Molecule: unclassified non-coding RNA, 397 nt
Filed under: Hevea brasiliensis (rubber tree)
Lineage: Eukaryota; Viridiplantae; Streptophyta; Magnoliopsida; Malpighiales; Euphorbiaceae
Source: RNAcentral
GAAGACUUGAGCUAUUUCAAAAAUAUAUUAGGGGAAAGAGGGGUGGUUCAAGAUGAAGAGACACUCGAUGCUGUGAACACGGAUUGGAUGAGGAAAUACAAGGGCACCAGUAAACUUAUGCUCCAACCUCGGACAGCAGAGGAGGUAUCUCAGAUUCUUAAAUAUUGCAAUUCCAGGUGCCUGGCUGUUGUUCCACAAGGGGGGAAUACAGGUCUUGUGGGAGGAAGUGUUCCUGCUUUUGAUGAGGUGAUCGUCAGUAUCAGUCAUAUGAAUAAAUUCAUUUCUUUUGACAAGGUUAGUGGCAUACUGGUUUGUGAGGCAGGAUGUAUUUUGGAAAACCUCAUCGCAUUUCUUGAUAACCAAGGGUUUGUUAUGCCACUAGAUUUAGGUGCUAAAG